This 3794-nucleotide long non-coding RNA is filed under the name Homo sapiens (human). RNAcentral's name for it is "HSALNT0043377". Lineage: Eukaryota; Metazoa; Chordata; Mammalia; Primates; Hominidae. The record is from RNAcentral.
AUCCUGAAUGAUAAUCGUGUCUUAAUAAUAAUAAAAGAAAGAAAAUAAGAGACAAGCAUCACGAUUUUCCCAAUUGAAAUGUCUUUUGGUUUUGCCUUUGGUGGCACAGGGUCAAGGGUGUGGGGGCAUUUGUGUGGCAUUCACUAUUCUUUCAACCUGUCCUGAUUAUGGAACCCUUUAAGGUCCGUCCACUUGGAACCACGGUGCUCUGAGAGGACGCUGAACUCACAGCAGCCCACACACAAUUCCAGUGAUACUACUGCAAUGUUUUGUACACAGAAUCUUAGGUUUGUUGGGUAAAUGUAGCAUCAUAUUUUGUUUUAGCAAUUUGUGAACAGUCUUGCUUCUCUUCACACUUAUAAGCUCAUCAGGCUAAGGAUUAAAUCGUAUGCACCCAAAUACCUCUUAGUAUACAAACGUCUGCACUCAGUAGCGUUUCUGGCUGAGCAGGUGGAAGAAGGGCCACGUUCGCCAAUGUCAUGAGGGGCCAGCAUCUUUAACCUUCACGCCCACAUCACCAGCCUUGCCUUCUUCACAACAGAAAUGUUGUCCCACUUCCUUUCCAGGUCUCUCAGAUUCAUGGUACGAGUUGGAAAGAGACCUGAGAGAUUAUUUAGGCUAAACGUUUCAUUUUAUAAAUGACAAAAUUAGGGUUGAGCAAAAUGUGGUGAUUUUGUCUGUGCAAAGCCAAGAAAAAAAAUUAGAGCCUCUUAAAAGUCAUUUUUCCCCUGAAAUAAAGUAUCUUCAUUUCACUGUUAAAUAUAUGUCCUCAUGUAGUUGCUAUAAUCAACCACUUCUCAAGAAAACUCUAAAAGCUGUAUUUCCCAUAUGACACAUUUCAGAAUAUUACAUAAGAAGCUCUCACCAAGACACCAAGGUAAAAUAUAUAUGACAAGCCAAAGACAGGUGCCAUAAAAAAAUAAGAAAUCUUCAAAGGGGAAAGAAAUUCCAAAAGUGGCAACAUGACACCACUCAUUCUCUGCCUACUUUCGAGGUAAGACGAUGUUGAAGUUCUGAGGGGGCUCAGUAAAUAACACCUCUCUUCCCCCUCCAGGUCCUGCACAAAUUGAAAACAUAAAAGGUAGCAGAUGGACUCAAAUGCCACCUUCAUGACUGAGGUGCCAAGCUGGAGGGCAGGAGUUGCCCUCUGGUCCUGGUUUAGGCUGACCUUCUGAACGGGGCCUGAGGGCAGGACCACACGGGCAGGGAUCAGAAAGGAGCUGGAGGAGAGCUCAGAAGGGAGGGCGGGCCCAGCUCUCUUGGCGGCCAAGGAAAAAGCCUGGCAUGUUAGAGCUGGUGCAGGACUCUCCAGGGUGACCGAGCCACCCAGAAGAGGGAAAAGCCAUUCUCCAUAACAAAAAGUCAGGACCGGCUGAAAGCCCCUCCCAGCCCUCCACCCUCCUUCGGCGGGGCUUCUUUCUGAGCUUUGCCCCAUCCCUGCCCCGUGCUGGUGACUGGUGUUUGGCUCCCUCCUAGAGAAAGAGAUGGGCCUGGGUUGGUUGAGAGAGAAAGAGAGAGAAAGGGAGAGACAGAGAGAAGGCUUAGCUCUUGUCCAACAGGGCCACCUAGAGGGACUCUCAGGCUUGAGCGGGAGAAGCAGAGUUUUGAGGCAGAGCUGAUCAAGGGAACCUCAACAAACAACCCCAGCCAUGGAGGCGGCGGUGUCUUUGAAGACCCCAUGAGAGCAUCAAACAAGGGAGAGAGCCUGGAACAAAUCAUGGUAGUAAAAUGGCGGCAGAGAGCUAGUAAUGUGUCUGCAAUUGGUGGGUUCUUGGUCGCACUGACUUCAAGAAUGAAGCCGCGGACCCUCACGGUAUGACAGCUCCUCUCCCAACAGCUCUACUUUCUACAUCUACUCUCUACCACCACAAAACUUCUUUCAGUUCCAUGAAAGGGCCAUGUUUUUCUGGUCUCUUGGCCUAGGAGCAUGUUGUUCUUCUGCCAGCAACCUUCUUCAACCAUCUCCACAGGAUGACUCCUCUAUUGGAUACUUCCAUGAAAAGUCCAGGCCUGGGUUAUGUACCCUUCCCAAAGUGCACCCCAGACACCCAACAGUUUUUCCAGCCCAGACUCACCACACUGUGUGGUAAUUUCCUGAUCACUCAGUUGUGCUCCCCACAGACUAUAAGCUCUAUGAGGGCAGGGGCCACAGUUUGCUUGUUCACUACUAUAUGCUCAGUACCUGGUAAAUAUUAGUUGACUGAAGAAUGACUAUGUGGUAAUCUAUUCCAUUGGUGGCCUCCAGUGAACCAUGUCUUCUGGUAUUUACAUCUUGUGUGGUCCCCUCCAUUAAAUUUGGGCUUUAACCAACAGAAUGCUGCAGAAGCGACACCCUGCCACUUGUGCUUUUGUGAUCCUAGCCACCAGUAAGAAGCCCUGUGACCUUGCUGAGACCCUGAAGAGACCACAUAGAGAGGCCACUUGAAGGGCAAGGGGUCCUGACUCUACAUGGAGAGAGAAGCCCAGCCAUCCCUGUUUCCCAGCUGAGUCCUGACCAGAUAACUCACUACAAGACUGACCACAGGCAAGAACAGCAGAAGAGCUGCCCAGCUGAGCCCAUCCAAGAGUGCAGAAUUUCAAGCAAGUAAAAUGACUAAUGUUGUAAGCCACUAAAAUUCUAGGGUGGUUCUUACAUAGCAAUAUGUAACUGUGAUAAACUAAAUAAAUGAAUAAAAGGGAAUGAAGAAUUACUUCACAGAAUAAGUUUCAUGCAAAGACAUCUCAAUGUCUCUAAGAAACACUUCUAAGGAAGAGCAGAGUCAAGAAAAUAGCAACAGAACUAACAGGAAAUAGAGGAACUCAUACCACCAGCUUCCAUUUACAUUACAUCACAUUUUUCCUCUGUCAGUUUCUUUGGUUUUAAGAUAUUCUCCAAUGAAAAGAUAUUCCUACUCUUUUGUGAAAAAGAGAUUCUAGGUUUGACAUUAAAGUUAAGAAGUCCAACCAAGGAGGGGAUGUGAACACUAACACACAAAUGGAAACUGCUUAGAAUCCCAUGGCCAACCUAUCCCUGCUGUUCUAUUUCCUCUUACUUGCCAGCAGAGCAGAUCUACAGCUGUGGAUGAGGGCAUAGAGGCUGCUGUGCUCAGGGGAAACUGGAAUACUAUGGAGACUCCUGGCUUAACUGGGCACCAAAUGUUCAGUUCAGUGUGAAAAAUACCAUCCAAAGAUCAGAAUGGUUAAUUUUUAUACAGACAGUUAAUGACUUGUCAGUGAACUAGUAAAAACAAAAUAGACAGCUACUCAGUGCCUUUAACCCAGGCAUCCAAUCAGUUACACUAUACACAUAUGCACAUACACCCCCUAGAGACAGCUGAUACACACUGUUACAUAAUCCAGAAUAUUUUCUGGCUAGACUAUAUUUUGAAUCCUAAAUAUUAGCUAGCAACAUUAGCAUGCACAUCUCAGAAUGAGAAGACAGACUGCUACAUUUAUACUGGCUUGAUGGAAUCUUGGAUUGCUACUUCUAAUAAUUGCUUUUCUUCCUGAAAGAAAAAAAUCAUUAUGUAAGAACUAUGGCCUAAGCGAAGUAUCUGUCUUUUGUAAAAAACCAUAAAACAAAAUGCCAAGAAUAUUUUCUAACGUAUUAUACUGGACUAAUGCUUUGAAAUUUCUGAAUGAUGUUUAGUAGGUAAAAUUAUCAAUGUAUGUCUAGAAUAGCAUGCCUCUUAAACCUACCUCCAAUUAAUAAAUUUUAUGUGAUAGAUAUUUAAAGUAAAGAAGUGAAUUCAGGAACAAGCCAGCGGCUUGAAUGCUGCAUGCUUGGGAAGGGAAAAAUCAGCUCCCAGGGUUUU